RNAcentral lists this Y RNA (113 nucleotides) under Microcebus murinus (gray mouse lemur). RNAcentral describes it as "Y RNA (ENSMICG00000045007.1)". It matches the Rfam family "Y RNA". From Rfam's summary of the family: Y RNAs are components of the Ro ribonucleoprotein particle (Ro RNP), in association with Ro60 and La proteins. The Y RNAs and Ro60 and La proteins are well conserved, but the function of the Ro RNP is not known. Lineage: Eukaryota; Metazoa; Chordata; Mammalia; Primates; Cheirogaleidae. The record is from Rfam by way of RNAcentral.
GCCUGGUCCCAAGGUAGUGAGUUAUCUCAUCUGAUUCUUCACAGUCAGUUACAGAUUGAACUCCUUGUUCUAUUUCUUUCCCCCUCCUCACUACUGCACUUGACUAGUCUUUA